RNAcentral lists this ribosomal RNA (460 nucleotides) under uncultured bacterium. Its description in RNAcentral is "partial 16S ribosomal RNA". It matches the Rfam family "Bacterial small subunit ribosomal RNA", at positions 338 to 795 of the family's 1533-position model. The record is from RNAcentral.
CCUACGGGAUGCUGCAGUGAGGAAUAUUGGUCAAUGGACGAGAGUCUGAACCAGCCAAGUAGCGUGAAGGAUGACUGCCCUAUGGGUUGUAAACUUCUUUUAUAUGGGAAUAAAAUGUUCCACGUGUGGGAUUUUGUAUGUACCAUAUGAAUAAGGAUCGGCUACCUCCGUGCCAGCAGCCGCGGUAAUACGGAGGAUCCGAGCGUUAUCCGGAUUUAUUGGGUUUAAAGGGAGCGUAGGUGGAGUGUUAAGUCAGUUGUGAAAGUUUGCGGCUCAACCGUAAAAUUGCAGUUGAAACUGGCAGUCUUGAGUACAGUAGAGGUGGGCGGAAUUCGUGGUGUAGCGGUGAAAUGCUUAGAUAUCACGAAGAACUCCGAUUGCGAAGGCAGUUCACUGGACUGCAACUGACACUGAGGCUCGAAAGUGUGGGUAUCAAACAGGAUUAGAUACCCUGGUAGUC